Molecule: ribosomal RNA, 710 nt
Filed under: Enterobacter ludwigii
Lineage: Bacteria; Pseudomonadati; Pseudomonadota; Gammaproteobacteria; Enterobacterales; Enterobacteriaceae
Description: bacterial SSU rRNA
Rfam family: Bacterial small subunit ribosomal RNA
Source: RNAcentral
CCUGGACAAAGACUGACGCUCAGGUGCGAAAGCGUGGGGAGCAAACAGGAUUAGAUACCUGGUAGUCACGCCGUAAACGAUGUCGACUUGGAGGUUGUGCCCUUGAGGCGUGGCUUCCGGAGCUAACGCGUUAAGUCGACCGCCUGGGGAGUACGGCCGCAAGGUUAAAACUCAAAUGAAUUGACGGGGGCCCGCACAAGCGGUGGAGCAUGUGGUUUAAUUCGAUGCAACGCGAAGAACCUUACCUACUCUUGACAUCCAGAGAACUUAGCAGAGAUGCUUUGGUGCCUUCGGGAACUCUGAGACAGGUGCUGCAUGGCUGUCGUCAGCUCGUGUUGUGAAAUGUUGGGUUAAGUCCCGCAACGAGCGCAACCCUUAUCCUUUGUUGCCAGCGGUUAGGCCGGGAACUCAAAGGAGACUGCCAGUGAUAAACUGGAGGAAGGUGGGGAUGACGUCAAGUCAUCAUGGCCCUUACGAGUAGGGCUACACACGUGCUACAAUGGCGCAUACAAAGAGAAGCGACCUCGCGAGAGCAAGCGGACCUCAUAAAGUGCGUCGUAGUCCGGAUUGGAGUCUGCAACUCGACUCCAUGAAGUCGGAAUCGCUAGUAAUCGUAGAUCAGAAUGCUACGGUGAAUACGUUCCCGGGCCUUGUACACACCGCCCGUCACACCAUGGGAGUGGGUUGCAAAAGAAGUAGGUAGCUUAACC